UACAGGGGGGGCAAGCGUUGUUCGGAAUUACUGGGCGUAAAGGGCGCGUAGGCGGCCUGCUAAGUCGAACGUGAAAUCCCUGGGCUCAACCCAGGAACUGCGUCCGAUACUGGUUGGCUUGAAUCCGGGAGAGGGAUGUGGAAUUCCAGGUGUAGCGGUGAAAUGCGUAGAUAUCGGGAGGAACACCUGUGGCGAAAGCGGCGCACUGGACCACAACUGACGCUGAGGCGCGAAAGCUAGGGGGAG
This 246-nucleotide ribosomal RNA is filed under the name uncultured bacterium. RNAcentral's name for it is "partial 16S ribosomal RNA". It matches the Rfam family "Bacterial small subunit ribosomal RNA", at positions 524 to 769 of the family's 1533-position model. The record is from RNAcentral.